This 267-nucleotide long non-coding RNA is filed under the name Sinocyclocheilus anshuiensis. RNAcentral's name for it is "lncRNA (ENSSANG00000010853.1)". The record is from RNAcentral. Lineage: Eukaryota; Metazoa; Chordata; Actinopteri; Cypriniformes; Cyprinidae.
GCAAAAACUGACCUUAUGGAAAUUAAAGCUAUCCUGUUUUUAAUUCUGAAUGCGCACACAUGCACUGCCGUCUUUAACGUUAGUGCUGAAGACAGUUUAGCUGAAACUGCAACAACUGUUCAGCUGGUUUAUCCACAGGAUCAUCACGAGAAACCCAGAAACGCCCCCUCUGGACGCAGUUUUUCUGUUCAACGUGACUAUGAAACCCAGACUGAUGAGCCGAUUGACUACAAUAUGGAUGAAACAUUGCCAGACUCUUCUUUAAUG